Molecule: ribosomal RNA, 768 nt
Filed under: uncultured fungus
Lineage: Eukaryota; Fungi
Description: eukaryotic LSU rRNA
Rfam family: Eukaryotic large subunit ribosomal RNA
Source: RNAcentral
AAAUUCAGUAUGCAGAGUGACAGAAAUAACACGCAUUCUCGUAGUAUGGCCGACCGAACGGCGUAGAGUCUAUCGCUGAAUCCGAGCCUCUCCCGCAGGGGCUCAGGAGCUGUAGCGUAUAGAGUGCGGUGUCGUCGCGGUCCCUGCCGCUCCAAGUCUCCCUUGAGUGGCGCCCCUGAGAAGGUGCUAGGCCUGUCGGGGUGGCGGUGGCCGUGGCGCUUUGCACCACGCUCUCGCAGUCGGCUUGUUUGGGAUCGCAGCCCACAGUGGGUGGUGAACUUCAUCUCAGACUAAAUACGACUACUACACCGACAGCGAACAAGUACCGUGAGCGAUAGUUGCUUAGCACUUUGAAGAGAGAGUUAAAGAGGACGUGAAACCGAUUAGGUGGCAGCGCAUAGAGCCAACGUAUCUGGCUUGCAUUCAGCCGUGCGGCUGGCGUCCGCCCUGCGAGUGGAACCCGCUUCUGGUCCGCUCGUGGGUGCUGGCCGUCGGCCGUCGGUGCAUUGNUGAGUGGAGUGCGCUGAGGUGUGCGCCACAGCGGUCCGAGGCGCUCGCCAGAGGACUCCUCUUCGGGGGAGAAACCCGGCGACGUGGAGGACUGUNUGCGACGCAUUCACCCAGGGAGGAACGGCCUUGCGGUCCGACGGCCAUCGCUUCGGCCCCCUGGUGCCGGUCACAUGUGACACGGGCCGUGGGGCAGGAGUCGGUGGUCGGCGGAUCCCGUCCCGCCCGCAAUCUCGGCGUAAAAGUUGGUCAUCUCUCCGA